UGCUCCCCGCCCGGCCCUGCUCUGUGGCUGUCUGCGUCCUUCCCCCACCCCCGACCCCUUCCUCCCUCUCUCUUUUGCUUGCUUGCUCGUUCGCUAGCUCUCAGACCAGGCGAAGCAGCUUCGCAGGAAAAUCCCAGAAACCUUUGCAAAAAGCUGACAAUGAAAUUUAAGAAGUUCUUCGAUUUCGGCGCCAUUUUCGAGUGGAGCGAGAGCGACUGACCGUCUCCUGAAGUGACAAGACGCCUCUUUGUAAUCUCUUUUCGGCAACCAAGGACGUUUUUCGCCAUUAAUCCCAAAAGUCACUGUAAAAGUUGUUUGUAAAUAGGAUAGCCAAAACAAGAUGGAAUUUAGAGACACUUAAUUGUAUGUCCCAAUUGAGGGAGUGGAGUUAUUAUAUUGAUAACUGUGUUCACCGUGACAUAAGUAGUGUAUUUGGUAACACUGGAUCUCCGUCUGGUGUGAUGAGUUUUGUUCUUAGUCCGAUUAAAUACUCUGCUCGUUUCACUAACUAAUAAAUAGGACACAACAUCCAUUGUACUGGUUCUGAAAAACCGACGUGAUUUUUAAAUGAACCAGAACACUUAGCAGACUUGGAUACUUUUAAGUGUCCAUUACCGUACUGAAAUGUAUUUUAGUUUUCAAAACCAUUAGAGUUUGUGCUGGUUUUGUUGUUUUAACUUUUAGGUUUGUGAUUGAAGUUACAGAGUAGUUUCUUCUCUGCUUAAUUGACUAUUUCGCUUAAAGGAGGGGGAGUGGGUGCCAUGUAACUUAUUGCUAUGUGUGUCCAUUUUAAAAAGGAAAAGGUGGUAUCUAAUGAGUUAAUCAUUAAAGAGUAUGCACUGUGCCGGCCAUUUCAGGACAUGAAAGAGUUUCUGUGGAACUGCUUGAGACAGGAAGGAGUGAAUUGACAUCAAGUAUUUAAACUUUUUUUGAUUUAUGGUUUGAUAGGUGACAUUGAAAGGUAUAAAUUAUUUAUAAAUAAGUUUGAGUAACCAGUUUCAUAUGUAAACAUCCAGAUAUUUUAUUUAGGGGCAGUUAUCUCUCAUACUUUGGUACCUUUAAGAAGAGCUCAAAGCAGGGUGUGUGCUGCAAGAAUGAGGCACUGGGAGUUAAAGAGGACAUCGGAUGCUCGUGUGGAUGAAUCUAUAUUUCCCAGCUCUCUUACAUGUUAGAAUCAGCUGAAGCUGCCAGAGACAUUUUGGUUAUCUCCUUUAAGUCAAUAAAUGAAAAGUUGUGUGUUCCCCCCCCCCCACGGGGACAUUA
Molecule: non-coding RNA, 1263 nt
Organism: Leptonychotes weddellii (Weddell seal)
Lineage: Eukaryota; Metazoa; Chordata; Mammalia; Carnivora; Phocidae
Source: RefSeq, a predicted model, not a curated record